This 403-nucleotide ribosomal RNA is filed under the name bacterium. RNAcentral's name for it is "partial 16S ribosomal RNA". It matches the Rfam family "Bacterial small subunit ribosomal RNA", at positions 355 to 776 of the family's 1533-position model. The record is from RNAcentral.
UGGGGAAUAUUGCACAAUGGGGGAAACCCUGAUGCAGCGACGCCGCGUGAACGAAGAAGUUAUUCGUAUCGUAAAGUUCUGUCCUAUGGGAAGAUAAUGACAGUACCAUAGAAGAAAGCUCCGGCUAAAUACGUGCCAGCAGCCGCGGUAAUACGUAUGGAGCGAGCGUUGUCCGGAAUUAUUGGGCGUAAAGGGUACGCAGGCGGUUUAAUAAGUCGAAUGUUAAAGAUCGGGGCUCAACCCCGUAAAGCAUUGGAAACUGAUAAACUUGAGUAGUAGAGAGGAAAGUGGAAUUCCUAGUGUAGUGGUGAAAUACGUAGAUAUUAGGAGGAAUACCAGUAGCGAAGGCGACUUUCUGGACACAAACUGACGCUGAGGUACGAAAGCGUGGGGAGCAAACAGG